GGGGCUUUAGCUCAGUGGCACAAGCAUCUGCCUGGCAAGCACAAGGUCGUGAAUUCAAGCCCCA
This 64-nucleotide transfer RNA is filed under the name Cavia porcellus (domestic guinea pig). It matches the Rfam family "tRNA". Rfam says of the family: Transfer RNA (tRNA) molecules are approximately 80 nucleotides in length. Their secondary structure includes four short double-helical elements and three loops (D, anti-codon, and T loops). Further hydrogen bonds mediate the characteristic L-shaped molecular structure. tRNAs have two regions of fundamental functional importance: the anti-codon, which is responsible for specific mRNA codon recognition, and the 3' end, to which the tRNAs corresponding amino acid is attached (by aminoacyl-tRNA synthetases). tRNAs cope with the degeneracy of the genetic code in two manners: having more than one tRNA (with a specific anti-codon) for a particular amino acid; and 'wobble' base-pairing, i.e. permitting non-standard base-pairing at the 3rd anti-codon position. Lineage: Eukaryota; Metazoa; Chordata; Mammalia; Rodentia; Caviidae. The record is from Rfam by way of RNAcentral.